Molecule: long non-coding RNA, 363 nt
Filed under: Rattus norvegicus (Norway rat)
Lineage: Eukaryota; Metazoa; Chordata; Mammalia; Rodentia; Muridae
Description: long non-coding RNA NONRATT027929
Source: RNAcentral
CAAAAUGGGACAGGGAUUCCCAAGGGGAUGCAAAAGAAAGAAACAUACACACACCAAAAACAUCCAAAGAAUACCUUUCUGCCUUCCUUGCUGCCUGUCAGCUCUUCUUAGAGUGCUCAAGUUUCCCAGUCUACAUUGCAGAGGGAAACCAUACAUCAGAGUCACAUUCUGAGAAACCUGACACUGACUGUGAGCAUGCCCACCCUCCACAGUGGCUCCAGACUCUGAUGAGUGCUUGCAGCCAAGCAAGUGAUUUCAGUGUACAGAGUGUUGCUGUGUCUCUAGUCAUGGACCUGGUGGGCCUGACUCAGUCUGUUGCCAUGGUCACUGGAGAAAACAUCAACAGCAUGGAGCCUGCACAAC